AGCCUGUGCGCGUGCCUAACACAUGCAAGUCGAACGCGAAAGUUUCUUCGGAAAUGAGUAGAGUGGCGCACGGGUGAGUAACGCGUGGAUUAUCUACCUACUGGUACGGGACAACAGUUGGAAACGACUGCUAAUACCGUAUACGCUGGUAACGGGAAAGGGGGCCUCUUCUUGAAAGCUCUCGCCAGUAGAUGAGUCCGCGUUUCAUUAGCUAGACGGUGGGGUAACGGCCUACCGUGGCAACGAUGAAUAGCAGGCCUGAGAGGGUGGCCUGCCACACUGGGACUGGAACACGGCCCAGACUCCUACGGGAGGCAGCAGUGGGGAAUAUUGCGCAAUGGACGAAAGUCUGAUGCAGCGACGCCGCGUGGAGGAUGAAGGUUUUCGGAUCGUAAACUCCUGUCAAGAGGGAAGAAACCUAUCAUGAAUAAUACUCAUGGUAACUGACGGUACCUCUAGAGGAAGCACCGGCUAAUUCAGUGCCAGCAGCCGCGGUAAUACUGAAGGUGCAAGCGUUAAUCGGAAUCACUGGGCGUAAAGCGCUCGUAGGUGGCUUUGUAAGUCAGGUGUGAAAGCCCACGGCUCAACCGUGGAAUUGCACUUGAUACUGCAUCGCUAGAGUAUAGGAGAGGGAAGUGGAAUUUCUGGUGUAGGAGUGAAAUCCGUAGAGAUCAGAUGAACACCCGUGGCGAAGGCGACUUCCUGGACUAUUACUGACACUGAGGAGCGAAAGCGUGGGGAGCAAACAGGAUUAGAUACCCUGGUAGUCCACGCCGUAACGAUGGGUACUAGGUGUUGGGGGCUUGACCCUCGGUGCCGUAGUUAACGCGUUAAGUACCCCGCCUGGGGAGUACGGUCGCAAGGCUGAAACUCAA
This 875-nucleotide ribosomal RNA is filed under the name uncultured bacterium. RNAcentral's name for it is "bacterial SSU rRNA". It matches the Rfam family "Bacterial small subunit ribosomal RNA", at positions 34 to 904 of the family's 1533-position model. The record is from RNAcentral.